AGCCUCCCAGGUAGCUCGUAUCUGCUUGCACCCAGGAGGCCUGGAGCUGGGAGUCUGGUGCAUUGACCCUGCUGCAGUCGGGGUGACUCAGCCAACCCUCAGCAACCAGGCAGCAGAUCUCACAGCCGGCCUUGAGCCUCCCACCCCUUCUGACAACUCCCGGGCUCAGGACAAUGGCUACCCUCACAGUGUAUAGACACGGAUCUGACUCCCAGUACGACACAUCAUACGUGGUGGGUGCUCGGGCUAGAGGUGGAGUAAAGUGCUCAACAACAUGGAUAAAGGGAACAACAAACUGCCACUUGUGGGGGCCUACUGUGUGCUGGUGGCUGUGCCAUGAUUUCAUUCCAUUCCCAGCUGGUGGCUCUGGAAUCACCAGCCACCCCAUCCCUUUUACAGGGAUGCCUGGGUGGCUCAGCGGUUGAGCAUCAGCCUUUGGCUCAGAACGUGG
Canis lupus familiaris (dog) is the source of this 451-nucleotide long non-coding RNA. RefSeq lists it as uncharacterized. The record is from RefSeq and is a predicted model, not a curated record. Lineage: Eukaryota; Metazoa; Chordata; Mammalia; Carnivora; Canidae. The transcript has 4 exons.